GACGAACGCUGGCGGCGUGCUUAACACAUGCGAGUCGAACGGAAAGGCCCUGCUUGCAGGGUACUCGAGUGGCGAACGGGUGAGUAACACGUGGGUGAUCUGCCCUGCACUUCGGGAUAAGCCUGGGAAACUGGGUCUAAUACCGGAUAGGAGCCAUUUUUAGUGUGAUGGUUGGAAAGUUUUUUCGGUGUAGGAUGAGCUCGCGGCCUAUCAGCUUGUUGGUGGGGUAAUGGCCUACCAAGGCGGCGACGGGUAGCCGGCCUGAGAGGGUGGACGGCCACAUUGGGACUGAGAUACGGCCCAGACUCCUACGGGAGGCAGCAGUGGGGAAUAUUGCACAAUGGGCGCAAGCCUGAUGCAGCGACGCCGCGUGGGGGAUGACGGCCCUCGGGUUGUAAACUCCUUUCGCUAGGGACGAAGCUUUUUGUGACGGUACCUAGAUAAGAAGCACCGGCUAACUACGUG
This 465-nucleotide ribosomal RNA is filed under the name uncultured bacterium. Its description in RNAcentral is "partial 16S ribosomal RNA". It matches the Rfam family "Bacterial small subunit ribosomal RNA", at positions 28 to 507 of the family's 1533-position model. The record is from RNAcentral.